GGAAAUGUGGCUUAGUGGUAGAGUGCUUGCCUAGCAUGCAGGAAGCCCUGGGAUCGAUUCCUCAGUACCA
This 70-nucleotide transfer RNA is filed under the name Dipodomys ordii (Ord's kangaroo rat). It matches the Rfam family "tRNA". From Rfam's summary of the family: Transfer RNA (tRNA) molecules are approximately 80 nucleotides in length. Their secondary structure includes four short double-helical elements and three loops (D, anti-codon, and T loops). Lineage: Eukaryota; Metazoa; Chordata; Mammalia; Rodentia; Heteromyidae. The record is from Rfam by way of RNAcentral.